UGCAUAUCCAAUAAGCGGAGGAAAAGAAACCAACAGGGAUUGCCCCAGUAGCGGCGAGUGAAGCGGCAAGAGCUCAGAUUUGAAAUCGUGUUUCGGCACGAGUUGUAGAGUGUAGGCGGGAGUCUCUGUGGAGCGCGGUGUCCAAGUCCCUUGGAACAGGGUGCCUGAGAGGGUGAGAGCCCCGUAGGGUGCUGCGCGAAGCUUUUGAGGCCCUGCUGACGAGUCGAGUUGUUUGGGAAUGCAGCUCCAAGCGGGUGGUAAAUUCCAUCUAAGGCUAAAUAUUGGCGAGAGACCGAUAGCGAACAAGUACUGUGAAGGAAAGAUGAAAAGCACUUUGAAAAGAGAGUGAAACAGCACGUGAAAUUGUUGAAAGGGAAGGGUAUUGGGCUCGACAUGGGGGGUGCGCACCGCUGUCUCUUGUAGGCGGCGCUCUGGGCGCCCUCUGGGCCAGCAUCGGUUCCUGCUGCGGGAGAAGGGGCUCCGGAAAGUGGCUCUUCGGAGUGUUAUAGCCGGGGCCAGAUGCCGCGUGUGGGGACCGAGGACUGCGGCUUCUGUCUCGGAUGCUGGCAUAACGGCGCAAUACCGCCCGUCUUGAACACGGACCA
This 605-nucleotide ribosomal RNA is filed under the name Pichia manshurica. Its description in RNAcentral is "partial large subunit ribosomal RNA". It matches the Rfam family "Eukaryotic large subunit ribosomal RNA", at positions 37 to 668 of the family's 3401-position model. The record is from RNAcentral. Lineage: Eukaryota; Fungi; Ascomycota; Pichiomycetes; Pichiales; Pichiaceae.